Molecule: long non-coding RNA, 9269 nt
Filed under: Triticum aestivum (bread wheat)
Lineage: Eukaryota; Viridiplantae; Streptophyta; Magnoliopsida; Poales; Poaceae
Description: long non-coding RNA (TAES_LNC017950)
Source: RNAcentral
UCGUACUGUACAUCUUAGUGGUUUUCACGGCUCAGACAGGUGUUCCUCUCUCCCCACCGCUCUCCUCUCCUCUCUAGCGACAACGGCGGCACCCGAGACGGCGACAGCGGCUGCACGCACCUGAGGGACCAACCGGAGGCGCGUGUAGCGAGCAGGAGGCGAUGUAGGCAGUGCAAUGAUCCGACGCGAGCUGGGGGCGACAAUGGCCUUCUCUGGUGUCGCUCUCCACCGACGGUGAGAUCUCCCUCCUCCACGAAUUUCUGAAUUUCUAGGGUUAGGGUUCUUGGUUUUUGGGAUUGAGGUAGAACAAGACAAAUAAAGGAAAACAAACAGAAGAGAGGAAUAGGUGAUGUAGGUUGAUGUUGGAGAUUCAGAUUGGCGCUCAGAGGUGGGAUCAAUUCAAUGAGGAGGUGUAUCAUGGUGUAGGAGGAGAAGAAGGCCAUGUGGAUGGUGGACAGAAAGAGGAGGACCUCAAGGCUGCGGAGGAGGAAUAACAGUAGAGUAUCUUGUUAGAUCCAGCCAAAGGCGAUGACCUUGUUUCUACUCUGUUAUAGAUAAACUGCUCUUUUCUUUUCUUCCUGGGAGCUCCACCGUUUUGAAUGAACUGGACUGUCACCUAGUAAUGAGAAAAAACCAUGUUUGGCCAUUUUUAACUUAGAAUGGAGUUGGGAUGCUGCUACUGUGUCUGUAUUACAAUGAUCAUCCCAUCAUUGUGCAUAUGCUCUGUUGCACAAGGCACAUAAGGAACUCAAAAAGGCUAAAGUAGAACAAAAUGUGAAAAAACAAGCCUCGCAGCCAAGAAUCAUGCAUGCCCCCAAAAGAAGCACAAAGCAUUCAUGCCCCAGUAACUGUCAUCUUAAUGCACAAUGUCACCGGCUUGCUGAUGGGGAAUGUAAUGUUUUGUUAGUUUUUGAGUUAGUCGAGGGCCGAUCAUACUCUCAACAGAUCGAAAUUUAAACCUUUCGAUCAGCUAAUCUUACUAAAGAACACAAAUGUGUCUUUUUAUAAACUUGAAUUGUCCUGGUAAAAGUACGGAUUUUCACUUUCACCUGCAGCUGUCUCUAUGUGGAAGGCUUCUGAUGUUUCUGUAGGCGCAGGCCUGAACAAUAGUGAGACAUUGUAGGCGGACCUGAAUAAUAGUGAGACAUGGUAGUAACUAGCAAAAAGUGCAAGAUGCACGGUCAGCUUUUUCUUUUUCGAAUUUAGUGUACAUUUGUUGCUCUUUGCCACCUGUUUGAAAGCACUGCAUACACCUGCAGUACACUAAACUUUCUCAGGUUUGGUUCUCAUAUUUUCACACUAUGCUUAAGGCAAACGAUGGAUGGCUGAACACCUAUUUAUUUGUAGUUUUUAUCUGUUGAUACACGCCGAAAUGAACAGAACGAUAUAGCUAGGCGUGCUCCUAUUUUACGUUGAUGUAAAGAAGCGAUGCAAUCUACGUCGCCGGCAAGUUUGGAAAAAUGUAUUAUUUGUACAUGCUCCUAUUUUAUGUUGGCCCCAGAUCUCUUAACUCGUCUCUUAAAUUUCAUACAUCGGCUGGCGAAUGUGGGCUGAUUCUGAACAGUAUGCUAAUUUCCAAAUGUGGUUUGAUAGAGUACGCAGAUCUCUCGAUUACUAGCAACAAUCUCUCUCAGGUAUAUGUUUAGAGGGGCGAUUACAAGCAGCGGUACAAGAAUUGGUAGCUAGGGUUCGUCGCGAGACAGAAAGGGGGAAGGGGAAAGGAGCCGAGCCGCCGUUCGCCUGAUCCACUGGAUGCCUCAGGCUGAUCUCGAUCCCUCCUCAAGUAGGCGCGUGGACGGGCUUCAGUUAACCCACGCCGGCCCGAUGACGCGUGGAUUGGGCUUCAUGGGCCGGGCCGCUCGUGGAGCCGUGGUGACGUGGUCAUCGGUGCUGACUUGCGGGCCUGCCUUGUCAGGGCCGUUGACAUCCCCCUCUCCUUGAGUCGAGGCUUGUCCCCAAGCCUCAGCGAGCGGGAAGCGCUCCCUGAGACUCGCCUUGUCUUCCCAAGUUUCUCCGAGCACAUCCGAAUUGGACCAGCGGACGAGAAUUUGCUCUCGCAUCUUGCCCUUCUCUUGCCUCCAUCUUGACUGAAGGACUGCCACAGGGACCGCGAGCUCGUCAGAACAAUGAGGAAGAUGAGGUUCAACAGCCAUACCCGUGUUCAGGACGCGUCGAAGCAGCGAGACGUGGAAGACUGGAUGGAUUGUUGCUUGCGGAGGAAGUUGGAGCUUGUAUGCGACUUUCGUUGAUCUUGUCUAUGAUCGGAAACGGGCCAUAGUACUUGUAUGCCAACUUGUGGUUUGCUCUUGGCGCGACUGAAGUUUGGAUGUAUGGCUGCAGUUUCAGGUACACUUGAUCACCCACCUCAAAGUUCGGAACGAUUGUUUCUUAUCUGCCUGGCUUUUCAUCAGUUGCUUUGCCCUGUUCAGGUGUUGCUGCAACAGCUCCUGAACUGUAUCUCUCUCCUCGAUCCAUGAUUUGAGAGCUGAAACUGAACAAGUGUUUCCUGCUGUGAUCCCCCAGUGCCGUGGUUCGUAUCCAAACAUUGCUUUGAAGGGUGUCAUGCCUAUAGCCGAGUGGUGAGAGUUGUUGUACCAGAAUUGAGCCAACGAAAUCCAGAAACUCCACCGUCUUGGGCACGCUUGAGUGAAGCAUCUCAGAAAGGUUUCCACACACUAGUUAACUCGUUCCGUCUGACCGUCCGUUUGGGGGUGGUUGGCUGUGCUGAGUCUGAGUUGAGUGCUCGCGGCCUUGAAUAGCUCCUGCCAGAAAUGGCUUGUGAACACAGGGUCAUGAUCUGACACGAUCGCUCCCGAAAGCCCAUGCACUUUGUAGACUUGUUGGAUGAAAAGUUGGGCCACUGAAGCUGCCAUGUAUGGAUGCGCCAGGGGCAAGAAGUAGCUGAACUUGGUUCUCUUAUCGACUAUCACCAGCAGACAGUUGAACCGGCUCGAUUGUGGAAGGCCAUCCACGAAAUCCAUGGUGAUCAUGUCCCAUGGUUUGGUAGGGAUUGGCAAGGGCAAUAAGAGUCCUGGUGAAGCCGCUCUAUCCGGCUUAGGUUGCUGACACACCGAGCAGCACUGUACAUGGUGUUUGAUUUGAAUCUUCAUCUUGGGCCAAGCAAAAAGGCGUCGUAUGCGUCUGUAAGUGACUGGGAAUCCCGAAUGACCACCUAUCGGGCUGUCAUGGAAGGCUUGAAUGAUACGUUGUUGUAUAUGUGUUCCUCCCCCGAGCCAUAUCCUCCCCCUGAAUCUGAUGAUGCCUUGCUGCAGUGUGAAUCGUCCUUUGGUAUCGUUACGCACUGCUAGUUGUUCCAGAAGUUUCUGCGCGUGAGGAUUGCUGUUGUAGCUGUUGAUGAUGUCUUUCAGCCAACUGGGUUGACGCGAUGUGACCAUGUGAAGUGUCUUUGCUUGGUUAGCUCGCGAUAGAGCAUCCGCGCUGUUGUUCUCAGUCCCCUUCUUGUACUUGAUGCGGUACCUGAGCCCCAACAGUGUGGUGAAAUCUUUUUGCUGCUACGGGGUGUUCAGUCGCUGCUCUUCUAGAUGAGUGAGGCUCUUUUGAUCCGUGUAGAUGACAAAUUCUGUGUGCUGCAAAUACGGGUGCCAUUGAUCCACGGAAACUAUGAUUGCCAGGUACUCUUUCUCGUAGGUCGACAGCCCUUGGUAUCGUGGACUAAGGGCUUUGCUAAUGAAGGCUAUGGGGUGCCCCUGUUGCUGCAGAAUUGCCCCUAUGCCACGGUCGCACGCAUCGGUCUCAACUGUGAAUGGUUGAGCAAAAUUCGGCAAGGCCAGCAUCGGCGCUGUGAUGAGCUGCUGCUUCAGGACUUGAAAGGCAGUUUCUGUGAUCGAUGUCCAGAGAAAUGGGACGCCCUUCUUCAGUAAGUUAAAGAGUGGCCGGGCAAUCACUCCAAAGUUGCGCACGAAACGACGGUAGUAUCCUGCGAGUCCCAAAAAACUCCGGACUCCCUUGACAUCUUGUGGAGGGGACCAGUUGGCCACUUUUGCUAUCUUGGUCGAGUUUGUUGCAAUACCUUGCGCGCUGAUGACGUGGCCCAUGUAAGAUAUCCUGCUUUGUCCAAAAGCACACUUGCUGAGCUUCACUUUCCAGUGGUCUUUGCGAAGCAGUUCCAACACUUGUCUCACAUGGCACUUGUGUUCUUCCAAUGUGGCACUAAAAAUCAAGAUGUCGUCGAAGAAACAGAGGACACAAAUGUGAAUCACUGGCUUGAGAGUUGUAGUCAGUCCUUCAAUGAAUGUGGGAGGGCCCCCAGCUAGUCCAAAGGAUAACACUUUGAACUCAAAAUGGCCCUGGUGUGUUGAGAAUGCUGUCUUGUGCUCUUCCCCGGGAGCGAGCCUGAUCUGGUGAUAGCCCGCGCGCAAAUCCAACUUUGAGAACCAUGCUGCUCCAUGCAGUUCAUUGAGGAGUUCUUCGAUGACUGGGACUGGGAACUUGCCGACGACUGUGAUGGCAUUUAACUGCCUGUAAUCAAUACAGAGGCGCCAGGUCCCGUCUUUUUUCUUCACUAGGAUGACUGGGGAUGAAAAUGGGCUGUUGCUACGCUGAAUGACUCCUGAUUUCAACAGUGGCUCGACCUGAGCUUCUAUCUCUGUUUUCUGCUCUGGUUUGUAUCGAUACUGCCUGACGUUGACUGGUCACGCUCCUGGGAUCAGAGGAAUGCGAUGAUCGCACGCCCUCCUAGGUGGGAGCCCCGUUGGCUCUUCUAACACGUCUCGGAAUUGGUCCAAAACUUCUUGAAUGCAAGCUGGUGUUUGUUCCAAGUUCUCAGGCUGAGUUGCUACCACACAGAGGUGUAUGACAUGUGUGAUAGAUCCUUUGCUGCACAAGUUUUGCAGUUGCAGACUGUUGAUGGUCUGGCAACUUGUCGAGGCUGCGUCGUGUCCCACGAGACGUAGCGGACCCGCUGGAGUAGGUAUCUCAAUGAAACGUGCGCGCCAGUCGACCCCAUCGGGCUGUGUUCCUCUAGCCAAUCCAUGCCUAGGAUGAGAUCGCACGUGCCCAGGGCCAGCACCUUCAAGUCCGUAUAGAACUCGUGCCCUUGAGCGUACCAGGCGCACUGUGUGGCUACCUCUGAACAGAGCAGCUCACCUCCAUCUGCCACUCGCACACCGCUGGGUUUGGAGAGAGGUUGAACUCCUGAAAGUUGCUUUGCGAGCUGCUGGUUGAUGAACGAAUUGGAGCUGCCUGAAUCCACUAACAUGAGUACUUCGUGCCCUUGAAGCCAAGCUCUGAGCUGAAAAGCUUUGGUCGAAACCCCUCCUGUAACAGCAGAAACUGAGAUGGCCAUGGCUGUGUCUUGGAGCGCUUCGUCAGAACCCAGUUGUGUGUCGACGAAGCUGUCGAGGCCGAAGAUGUCCAGUAGCUCUUCCACAACGUGCAGCUGAACGGUGGUGGGGCACACAUGGUCGUGCCCCCACCUCUCGCCGCACUUGAAACAUAGACCCCGGGCCCGUCGAUAGUCCCAGAGUGACUUGAGCUUGGACGCGUUAGCGCGGGCGGCGUCUGUGCUGCGGUGAUCCGCCGCUGGCGCCGCUGGUACCGAGCGCACCGGUGGGGGAGGAAGCGGCAUGGGUGUGCCUCCUCGCUGAGGUGGCUCCGGUGGGCGUGGGAGGCUGCCGAACGCGCCCUCGGCCACCUCUUCUUGAAGCAGGGCGAGUGCGCACGCUGUAUCCAGGUCCGGUGGUCGUUGCACGAGCACCACCGCCCGAAUAUCCCUCCUCAGUCCCUCGACAAAACGAGUCAAGAAAUAGAAAGGAUGGAUCGUGUCAGAGUAUGAUAACAAGUGAUUGAUGAUCAAUUCAAACUGCUCGAUGUAAUGUGCUAUUGAAGAUGUUUGGCGGACAGUAUAAAACUGCCUGAUCAGCGUCUGGUGCCGAUCGCGCCCAAAAUGAGUGCAAAGUAAUGAGGUAAACGCUUCCCAGUCGAAAUCUGCGAGUCGCUUCUAUAUGGACUGCAGCCAAACAGCGGCUGACCCAGAGAAAUUCAGAGCCGCCAUGGGUACCCAAAAUGAAGGUAAAAUGCCAAACAUCUGGAAGUACUGCUCACACAUAGUUUUCCACAGAUUCAGGUUGUCGCCCGUGAACUGUGGAAACACGAUGGAUGGGUGGGAUUGACCCAACCCUGACAGUAGCUGACUCGCGUGUGCAAACGGGGAUGGCGGGGUGGUAAUUUCUGCUAGGGAGGAGGACGGACCUGUUGCCGGGGGUGGCGGCGGCGUCUGGAAGGACGCCGCCACGUUCCCCCGUGGUAAGUUGAAGACGCCGUGGCCAUUGGGCCCUUGGAGGUCGUUGCCCGCGCCGCCACCGGCCCCCGUGAGGAUGCCGGUCGUCGCAGAAGGGCCCUGUUUCGGAUUCGCCCCUGUGGUUCCUCGCUCGUCCUGGUCGACGGUGGCUGCGCCAUCUGGAGCGCCGCCACCGCGUCGCCAAGACCGCCACCCGCUUCUCUAGAUCUGGCGCCAGUUGACGAGAUCGUCGAUCUUGGCCGUGGAGGCUUGGAUCUCCGUGAUUGCCUUGUUCUGGGCCUUGAGGGUGUUGUCGAGCCAGUCGAGGAAGGCUUCGAUCGCCGGAUCCAUGGCUACCAAGUGCGUCCGAGCUUGUCGAAGCCCUCUGGUCUCGAUGAUUUGCGCUAGUGGAGUGGUGGAGGAAGGAUUGCUGGUCUCUGAUACCAGAUGAUAGAGUACGCAGAUCUCUCGAUUACUAGCAACAAUCUCUCUCAGGUAUAUGUUUAGAGGGGCGAUUACAAGCAGCGGUACAAGAAUUGGUAGCUAGGGUUCGUCGCGAGACAGAAGGGGGAAGGGGAAAGGAGCCUAGCCGUCGUUCGCCUGAUCCACUGGAUGCCUCAGGCUGAUCUCGAUCCCUCCUCAAGUAGGCGUGUGGACGGGCUUCAGUUAACCCACGCCGGCCCGAUGGCGCGUGGAUUGGGCUUCCUGGGCCGGGCCGCUCGUGGAGCCGUGGUGACGUGGUCAUCGGUGCUGACUUGCGGGCCUGCCCUGUCAGGGCCGCUGACAUGGUUGGUUGGAAACCUUAUAUUGGUGGACACCGACCCUCUCCCGGCCUUGGUUGGAAACCUUAUGUUGGUGGACACUGACCCUGUCCCAGCCUUUCAAUAUUCACGGAAGCUGCAAAUUGGAGUUAGAUUUAUUUCAGUUGCCCAGAGGUGGACACUGACCCUUUCCCAGCCUUUCAAUACUCACGGAAGCUGCAAAUUUUUCUGCUGUAGCAAGACUUUUUUGUCAUCCUGGUUGUGCUCCAAUUUACUCUUUCUAUGAAUUAAUGUUAUGUGCUCCUUCUCAGCAGGUUUACAGCAUGUGGUAGUCUGCUUUUAAAGGUAUUUAAGUUUUGAUGCUACAUAAUACAUAUUCAUGAGACGGUGCGUGGACAACUUUUAAUCUUUAUCUCUCUCAUUUCAUUCUUAUCCAAUUGUAUCUCGCACAGUUUGGUACAAGACAUGGUUUAGGUUGCAUUGAAAUUGUAGUUACAGAGCUUGGCCUCUCUGUCUUGUUUCUCUAUUUACUUUCGAUUCAUACCUGUAGCUAGCAUGUUCAUCUGAUUCUCGUGAAUCUGGUACAUCCAAACUUCGCUUGUGUUUUUUUUUCAGUUUAAGGUAGUAAAGCCUCAGUCUACCUUCAAGUGUGAUAUGUUCUUGUUUGUUGGUGGUCUUUACCUGUUUGUUGGUAUGCUUCUCAGAUCCAAAAAUAUUCUGUUUUUUCAGGUCUCCAUUCAAGUGGAUGAUAACAAAUGCAUGAGGGAUAGAGAGGAAUGAGUUUUCUGGAACGCGUCUUCGUAUCUUAGUGUAUGGUGGGUACAAGUAAUGUUUGAUUCAAAAUUUAGACCUUUUUACCAAUAAUCAGUAGCAAAAUUUAGGAUUGUUGAGAAGAGAGGUGAACCUAAAGGCUUCGGUACUACUCUUAGGAUACUAUGUUGCUUCCAGGCCAUGGAUAAGAAUAGUUCAGUCGCUUGAGAGAUUGUUGAACAUAUGAAAUUGAUGGAAAUAUCUGGGCACCCUCAAGUUAAGUUGCUACCAAAAGAGCCAGGCACGCCUCCUACUCAUCAUAAACUUACAACAACAUCAUUGUUUUUUAGUGUUUUUUUGUUCUGCCGUAUGGAUUUCUAAAUGCAUCAUGUAACUUAUUGGCAUGCAGAAGGUAAUAUUACGUCCAUCCAUUUUGUUUUAUAGAAUGAAGACCGGUUCUUUCUUCAUGACGUAAUCUUACCUCGAGUGCUUUUGUUUUCUUACCUUGUAAAGGUGUGGACGUGGGAGACGGUUUAGGCCGUAAUCUUACCUUGAGUGCUUUUGUUUUCUUAAAUUGUAAAGGUGUGGACGUGGGAGAUGGACUGGGGUGAAGAAUAAGAAUUCUUCACCCUAGGUGACGAAUAUAUAUAUUGGAAGGAACAGAGUUGUAUUCCGUUAAACUGAUGCACUGGACAUGUCACCAGCAUACUUGUUCAGUACAAACAGUGGUAGAUGGCCAACCCACACCUCACGGUUGCCAUUUCCCUAACGGCGCGCCAUGGACAGUAAGUUCAUGAGCUACUCCAUUACAUGAUCAUGGUACGACCAAUAUUCAGAAGUUUUCAAAACUAACAUAAACAUGGCUUCUAUUUCUCUAAAUAGAACACCCAGCGGCGCUAGAUCAUAAUCAUUUGACGUAAUAGCUUUCUUCAUGACUGUUGAAUCUGUCUCCAGAACCACCUGAUGACACCCCAUUACUGAUGUGAUUUGAACCGCAUGGUGAAGAGCUCGAGCUUCAGCUUCAAGUGCACUUCCUGACUUCCUGAAGAUGACCUUGUCCAGCCACAACUACAACACCUCGAUCAUUCCUGACGAUGAAAGUCCCAGCCACCUGAAAGAUGUAGUUCUGGAAAGGCCCCAUUUGUGUUGAUUUUUAGAAAAUUAUGCAUUGGUCGAGACCAUUGCCACUGCAUCUUACUCUUUGGUGUUACUUUCUUUACUUGCAUGUUGUUAUACUGCAAAACAUAAACUGUGAUGGAGAUCGUUAUCUCUCCAGUUGUUCUUGUUUUUUUCUCCUCAGUUUGCUUUAUUCCUUUCUGCCCAACAGAUCCAGUGCAACAAGGUGAGCCUCUUAUCUUCAUUCAGAUUGAAAAUUUCCUGUAGGAGAGAGGGGCCACUUGGGCAUCCAACAAUUACCUCUCUUAUAUCCUCCAUUUGUACAUUUGUAGGCCUCUCCAGAUUGGUUCAACCAAUUUGCAUUUACAAAGAUGCGGCCUCCAUCUUAAUUUAAUCUUAAGGGG